Non-coding RNA from Taeniopygia guttata (zebra finch), 1298 nucleotides. The record is from RefSeq and is a predicted model, not a curated record. NCBI's taxonomy places the organism in Eukaryota, Metazoa, Chordata, Aves, Passeriformes, Estrildidae.
AGAGUUUUCACUUGUCUGAAUGUUAGGAAAAUAAGGCCUUUUUGUUCAUAAUAUAGAGUUUUCACAUCUAUAAAAUAGAAUCUUUACUUAGAGUUUUCACUUGUCUGAACAUGUUCUCAUUUUGCCAAGCAUUCCAGAAUAUCUCUCAAGGACAACUUCGUUAUACACUGCUUUAACUAAUUUAGGGAGUAGAGGUUGGUUGUUAGGCAUCAAAGCACCUAAGCGAAUAUCUUCAAGGACAGUUCCGUAAUCCUGUGGAAUGCGAGUAAACGUGCCUAGAGAUAACAUUUCUUGUUUUGAGAGAAUUCCCAGAUCACAGAAACAAGCCUGAGGAAGACUACUGGCCUUCAUCCCACGACCACCAAAAGGCAGAAAACGACCACCUAGCAACAGGGUGCACCUGCGCAGAAAAGACACCAGAACGUCACACUUCCGGAGGAGAAGACCCAAUAAGUUGGGGGGGAAUGGGGCACGAAAGGGCGGUAGUUGGAAUAACUGCCGCCCAGCGCGCUGAUUUGCUUUCGUUUCCUACCAUUAAUAAAUCUUUUUAAUUGGAUUAGAAAGCCUAUUGUGCUCGUUCAUAACAAUUUGGUGCCGUGACUCGGAUCGCGGAUCUGGGGAACCUCUCUCUGAGAGGGGCGCCACGAUUCCGCUCCUUUGAGCGGACUCAGACCGGGGUUUCUACCCUCAUCCCGACCGACGAACCUAAAAGCCUAGAAAGCGAAAGCAAAAAAAAAAAAAAGGAAAGGGAAGCGGGCCCAGGGUACCCCUUAAAUUUUGUGCACAAAGUCCGGACGAAGACGCAGGACGCGUACAACCCGGCGACUGGGUCCUCAUCCGAAGCUGGAAAGAAGAUUCAAUCACCCCAAAGUGGGACGGACCAUAUCUGGUUUUAAUCACCACUGACUCCGCAGUCCGCACAGCAGAGAAGGGAUGGACUCAUGCUAGCAGAAUAAAGGGGCCGGUGGAUCCAACUCGAUUCCAUACAGCUUCCAGGGAAACGAGCUGGAAAAUUGACGGGAAGCCGGGGGAUUUAAAGUUAACAGUAAAAAGGACUUACAAAUAAUUUUCAUGAACACUAUCAACUCUAAGGACAUUUGGGUUGGGGAUAACUGGGGACUGCAAGUACAACUGGUGGGAGAAACAAAACCCCCAGGAUACUGUAAACGUCUAGAGGAUUCAGCCCAGCAGCCCUUUUAUCGGUUCAUCCGACUUGAAAAAGAGCAGAAACCUUGGGAGGGGGAGGGCCAUGCUGAACAUCAAAGUAUUAGAGUAAAGUGUAGCUGGUUAGAUUGUCA